This 2256-nucleotide ribosomal RNA is filed under the name Campylobacter jejuni. RNAcentral's name for it is "partial 23S ribosomal RNA". It matches the Rfam family "Bacterial large subunit ribosomal RNA", at positions 1 to 2105 of the family's 2925-position model. The record is from RNAcentral. Lineage: Bacteria; Pseudomonadati; Campylobacterota; Epsilonproteobacteria; Campylobacterales; Campylobacteraceae.
UAAAAAAAGGUAAGCUACUAAGAGCGAAUGGUGGAUGCCUUGACUGGUAAAGGCGAUGAAGGACGUACUAGACUGCGAUAAGCUACGGGGAGCUGUCAAGAAGCUUUGAUCCGUAGAUUUCCGAAUGGGGCAACCCAAUGUAUAGAGAUAUACAUUACCUAUAUAGGAGCGAACGAGGGGAAUUGAAACAUCUUAGUACCCUCAGGAAAAGAAAUCAAUAGAGAUUGCGUCAGUAGCGGCGAGCGAAAGCGCAAGAGGGCAAACCCAGUGCUUGCACUGGGGGUUGUAGGACUGCAAUGUGCAAGAGCUGAGUUUAGCAGAACAUUCUGGAAAGUAUAGCCAUAGAGGGUGAUAGUCCCGUAUGCGAAAAACAAAGCUUAGCUAGCAGUAUCCUGAGUAGGGCGGGACACGAGGAAUCCUGUCUGAAUCCGGGUCGACCACGAUCCAACCCUAAAUACUAAUACCAGAUCGAUAGUGCACAAGUACCGUGAGGGAAAGGUGAAAAGAACUGAGGUGAUCAGAGUGAAAUAGAACCUGAAACCAUUUGCUUACAAUCAUUCAGAGCACUAUGUAGCAAUACAGUGUGAUGGACUGCCUUUUGCAUAAUGAGCCUGCGAGUUGUGGUGUCUGGCAAGGUUAAGCAAACGCGAAGCCGUAGCGAAAGCGAGUCUGAAUAGGGCGCUUAGUCAGAUGCUGCAGACCCGAAACGAAGUGAUCUAUCCAUGAGCAAGUUGAAGCUAGUGUAAGAACUAGUGGAGGACUGAACCCAUAGGCGUUGAAAAGCCCCGGGAUGACUUGUGGAUAGGGGUGAAAGGCCAAUCAAACUUCGUGAUAGCUGGUUCUCUCCGAAAUAUAUUUAGGUAUAGCGUUGUGUCGUAAUAUAAGGGGGUAGAGCACUGAAUGGGCUAGGGCAUACACCAAUGUACCAAACCCUAUCAAACUCCGAAUACCUUAUAUGUAAUCACAGCAGUCAGGCGGCGAGUGAUAAAAUCCGUCGUCAAGAGGGAAACAACCCAGACUACCAGCUAAGGUCCCUAAAUCUUACUUAAGUGGAAAACGAUGUGAAGUUACUUAAACAACCAGGAGGUUGGCUUAGAAGCAGCCAUCCUUUAAAGAAAGCGUAAUAGCUCACUGGUCUAGUGAUUUUGCGCGGAAAAUAUAACGGGGCUAAAGUAAGUACCGAAGCUGUAGACUUGCACACAACUUAGAUUAUUUAAGUUUAGAAUAUGAGAAACUAAGUUAUAUGUUUAGUUAUAUUUUUACUGAUUUUUAUAGAGUAAAGAUAGAAAUAAAACUUAGUAAAAUCAGUAAAAAUAUUCUUAGGCUAAAGUUAAGUAGUUUAAGUUGUGUGCAAGUGGUAGGAGAGCGUUCUAUUUGCGUCGAAGGUAUACCGGUAAGGAGUGCUGGAGCGAAUAGAAGUGAGCAUGCAGGCAUGAGUAGCGAUAAUUAAUGUGAGAAUCAUUAACGCCGUAAACCCAAGGUUUCCUACGCGAUGCUCGUCAUCGUAGGGUUAGUCGGGUCCUAAGUCGAGUCCGAAAGGGGUAGACGAUGGCAAAUUGGUUAAUAUUCCAAUACCAACAUUAGUGUGCGAUGGAAGGACGCUUAGGGCUAAGGGGGCUAGCGGAUGGAAGUGCUAGUCUAAGGUUGUAGGAGGUUAUACAGGCAAAUCCGUAUAACAAUACUCCGAGAACUGAAAGGCUUUUUGAAGUCUUCGGAUGGAUAGAAGAACCCCUGAUGCCGUCGAGCCAAGAAAAGUUUCUAAGUUUAGCUAAUGUUGCCCGUACCGUAAACCGACACAGGUGGGUGGGAUGAGUAUUCUAAGGCGCGUGGAAGAACUCUCUUUAAGGAACUCUGCAAAAUAGCACCGUAUCUUCGGUAUAAGGUGUGGUUAGCUUCGUACUAGGAUUUACUCCGAAAGCGAAGAAACUUACAACAAAGAGUCCCUCCCGACUGUUUACCAAAAACACAGCACUCUGCUAACUCGUAAGAGGAUGUAUAGGGUGUGACGCCUGCCCGGUGCUCGAAGGUUAAUUGAUGGGGUUAGCAUUAGCGAAGCUCUUGAUCGAAGCCCGAGUAAACGGCGGCCGUAACUAUAACGGUCCUAAGGUAGCGAAAUUCCUUGUCGGUUAAAUACCGACCUGCAUGAAUGGCGUAACGAGAUGGGAGCUGUCUCAAAGAGGGAUCCAGUGAAAUUGUAGUGGAGGUGAAAAUUCCUCCUACCCGCGGCAAGACGGAAAGACCCCGUGGACCUUUACU